RNAcentral lists this ribosomal RNA (344 nucleotides) under uncultured bacterium. RNAcentral's name for it is "partial 16S ribosomal RNA". It matches the Rfam family "Bacterial small subunit ribosomal RNA", at positions 338 to 699 of the family's 1533-position model. The record is from RNAcentral.
CCUACGGGAGACAGCAGUGGGGAAUAUUGGACAAUGGGGGAAACCCUGAUGCAGCGACGCCGCGUGAGUGAAGAAGUAUCUCGGUACGUAAAGCUCUAUUAGCAGGGGAGAAAAUGACGGUACCUGACUAAGAAGCCCCGGCUAACUACGUGCCAGCAGCCGCGGUAAUACGUAGGGGGCAAGCGUUAUCCGGAUUUACUGGGUGUAAAGGGGGCGUAGACGGCAGCACAAGUCUGGAGUGAAAUGCCGGGGCUUAACCCCGGAACUGCCUUGGAAACUGUGCGGCUGGAGUGCAGGCGGGGUAGGCGGAAUGCCUAGUGUAGCGGUGAAAUGCGUAGAGAUUA